AAACAUCUCCUUUUGAUUUAAUUUAAGGUUUGACCUGCCCAAUGAUUUUUUAAUGGCCGCGGUAUUUUGACCGUGCAAAGGUAGCAUAAUCAUUAGUCUAUUAAUUUGUAGACUGGUAUGAAUGGUUGGACGAAAUAUUGACUGUCUCAGUAUAAUUUAUAUUUAAUUUGAAUUUUUAGUUAAAAUGCUUUAAUUUUUUUAUAGGACGAUAAGACCCUAUAGAUCUUUAUUUAUUUAUUUAUUUAUUUAUUUUAGAUUAUGUUUUAAUAAUAGGUGUAUAUAUUUUGUUGGGGUGACAUGGGGAUAUUAUUAACUCUUUAUUUUUGUAUACAAUGAUUUUUGUAAAAUUGACCUUUUUAUAUUGUUAUAAGAUAAGAUACCUUAGGGAUAACAGCGUAAUUCUUUUUGAGAGUUCAUAUCGACAAGGGAGAUUGCGACCUCGAUGUUGGAUUAAGGAUUAUAUUUGGGUGUAGAUACUUAAAUAUUAGGUCUGUUCGACCUUUAAAUUCUUACAUGAUCUG
This 521-nucleotide ribosomal RNA is filed under the name Rhaphiderus spiniger. RNAcentral's name for it is "partial large subunit ribosomal RNA". It matches the Rfam family "Bacterial large subunit ribosomal RNA", at positions 1811 to 2607 of the family's 2925-position model. Lineage: Eukaryota; Metazoa; Arthropoda; Insecta; Phasmatodea; Phasmatidae. The record is from RNAcentral.